This 118-nucleotide unclassified non-coding RNA is filed under the name uncultured Archaeorhizomyces. RNAcentral describes it as "sequence contains ITS1". Lineage: Eukaryota; Fungi; Ascomycota; Archaeorhizomycetes; Archaeorhizomycetales; Archaeorhizomycetaceae. The record is from RNAcentral.
CUGAACGGCCGUCCGGCCUUCAACCUCGCAAACCUGUGGAAGCGAGACGUGCUUCGGCGCCCCGGCGUCGCUUUUAUGCCUCGAUCGGUCUCUGAGUCUGAAUCGAAUACAACGGAUA